CCGCGCCGCUCUGCUCGGCCUGGCGGCCGUCUUCGCCGUCACGGCCACCACCGGGUCGGCCAAGGCCACGAUCUUCGAUGAGUACCUCGAGAAGAGCAAGGCCAACAAGGUCGGUCAGUGUUUCGUUGGUGUUUGUUACGUUGCUAGCGAGCGUACCACCAAAACUAAGGGCAUCAAUUUAAAAAACCCGUUUAAUUUCGAUGGAAGCGAAACUGAAACCUGACAAGGUUUCUUUGCUGCGACCAGGAGCUGAACGACAAGAAGAGGCUGGCCACCAGUGGAGCCAACUUUGCGCGCGCCUACACCGUGGAGUUCGGCAGCUGCCAGUUCCCCUACAACUUCACUGGGUGCCAGGACCUCGCCAAGCAGAAGGUUCAUUCUCUCAUCAUCACACACAUAUAUAACAAACCUCACCGCGCGGCCUGCUGACAAUAAUCUGAACUGGUUUCUUCUCAUCCUGUGCCGUGUCGUCCGUGCUUCAUUGUGCUCUUGCAGAAAGUCCCCUUCAUCAGCGACGACCUCGAGAUUGAGUGCGAGGGGAAGGAGAAGUUCAAGUGCGGCUCCAACGUUUUCUGGAAGUGGUGAAGCAGCUAGCAGCAGCGUCUGAUGGGAAUGGAGGAGAUCAUCACCUGUCUUGUCGACCCUAGAUAUGUCCAAACUGCAGGGAAAUUAAAUCUUCAUGUGUAAUUGUGCUCAUUCUGUUUCAAUCAUCUCAACAUCCGAUCAUGAACCUCUUGCAUUAUUAACUGGCUCGAUCGUCUUCUCAGUUUAAGACAUUGGAGGCUGCUUUGUUUGUUUCAGAGGUCCUUCUUAAGAUGAUGCUAUAUUUUGUCAUGGUUAAUGUGAUAAACAGGGUCAGGUCGGAUUAUUCUUGAAUAUAUAAAAUAGAAUUUUAGGCUCUAGCAAACCAGUAUAUGAGCAAAAGAAAAUUUGGAAACAAGAAAGUACCUAGAUGUAAAAAAAUAUGAACAAUAAGAAGAGAAUAAUAACAGUAGUAGUCUAUACCACUAGAUAAUCCAACAGUUUAAACAUUACAAAACUCACCUAACCAAAUCAUCCACACACCAAUAACCUCCACAAACAAAUUGCACCCAGACUUAACAUACCAUUAAAACCAAAGGUUCAGAUCUUCCAUUACUUACUCAAAUCCAAUAACAAUAUUAUUUACAUCAUCUCUCAUCCACCCCCUCUCCCUCCGACUCACUCGUGCCGCCACCACCGUCAACCCCGCCCCUCAUGUCGUCGUCGUCAUCGUCGACCCUUCCCCUCCUCGGGGUCAUAGCCGUAGUGAGAUUGCGUAUAAUGUGUGAGAUGCAUUGCAUUGAGCUUUUAGGGAGAAUAUAGAAGUACAUAACUUGGAGGGCAAGAAGUCUAUCCUAAAGAUGACAAAGGUUAUCCUAGAGAUAAGAAAGGUUAUUCCGAGAUUACAAUCAAUCCAAUCAACCUUAACCAACCAUAUCAGAUUUUGCCUAAUAUCACUACCGGAAUUGGCCGCUUUGCCGAGUGCCUGAAGCACUCGGCAAAGUCUAAAAAACACUCGGCAAAGUCUUUGCCGAGUGUCGCACUCGGCAAAGUCUAUGCCGAGUGUCGCACUCGGCAAAGAGGGCUCGAUGAACAGUGCAUCGGCAAAGACUUCUUUGCCGAGUACUUUUUCUCGGGCACUCUUGCCGAGUGCCAGAAGGUACUCGGCACAGACUUUGCCGAGUGCCAGAAGGUACUCGGCAAAGAAAAGCCGCCGUCACGGUGCCGGGGUGAUGGAGACGUCGUCUUUGCUGAGUGUCUCCUAAUGCACUCGGCAAGCAAGUUCCUCUUUGCCGAGUGUCUGCCGGCUAGCACUCGGCACAGAAUCCAUCAGGGGUCCCUUUGUCAGGUUCUUUGUCGAGUGCUCUGUAUGGCACUCGGCAAAGCGUGCCUCUGUGCCGAGUGCCAGGGCCACUACACUCGGCAAUGAACCUAUACCGGUGCCUAGGUCUUGGUUCUUUGCCGAGUGCUAUGGCCAUGACACUCGGCAAACCCCCUCUUUGCCGAGUCUAACACUCGGCAAAGUGACCAGUACACACCUUUUUAUUUGUUUUUUCUAUUCCAUCCAAACAAACAAAAGAUACAUCACAUAUAUUAUCACAUAUAUCACAUAUAUACAUCAUAGAUAUCAUCACAAACAUAAAAUAUCUAACACAAACAUUAAUAUACAAGUUCUCAACACAAACAUAAGUAUCAACACAAGUCCAGAAGUAUAAAAACAUAAUUUUCAAGCUCUAACAUAAGUAUUCAACACAAGUUCUGAAGUCUGAACACUAAAAACAUAGCUCUCAUCGAGGUGGGCUGUUAGACUGGUGCUACGAUGGGCUGGGCUGUUCAUGAGGGUUGUUGGAUGCCGCCCCAGAUUGGCCUUACACAGAGAAGACAUUGCAUGUUUUAUACCAGAUGCAUUACCAACAUCUAACUACAAUUUUGAUACUCACAGGAGUAUGAAACAAAGUAGGGUCAAUUGUAGGGAACAAUGGAGGUGGUGGAGCGAAACUCUGUGCAGCGCCAAGGCUCUGCAUGUAUUGGAACAUCUCCGCCAUUCUCUGCUAAUCUGCCAGGCGAGCCGCCCGCUCCGCCUCCCGCUCCACCAUCAUCCUUGCCUCCAUCUCGUGACGUUCCCUCCUCUCUUCCUCUAGCUGGGUCUAUAAUAUUACAAGCCAAUGUUAUAGUAACUCAAAGAGAAGGUAUAUAACUCAAGUAAUGACGAGUUACAGAAGCACUAACCUCCAGUUGUUGUAUGCGAUGCUGUGAGCUAUCGUGCCGAGGUCGUGUGGCUGGACUCGAGCCCGUGCUCCUUGCUCGCACCUGAGACAAAGUGGGAGUGGAGGACGAGUCGAUUGCCCCAUCGGCAAUCCAGUACCGCCUCUGUCUCUUGCCUCCUUCGACCCUCAUGAGCACAUCGAGGUCGAUCUCCUUGGUCCUCGGAUCGUAUUCUAGGCCAUGGACCUCCUGCGCCAUGGCGAUAUAGUCAUGAAGGCGACUGUAGACGGCGGGGUUGCUCUACGCCUCGGGCCCGUCAUCCGGGUUGUAGGUGACGUCGGACGUCGCCUUGCCCUUAUGGGCCAUAGCAUAGGCCGAGAAGAUGGAGCAAGGCUGGCCACCAUGUGACGCCGACUUCAAAAAAACCAACGAUAUAGUUAGAAAUAAUAUCUAAUCCAGUGUUAUAUACCUAAAUAAAAAGAGGGCGUACCCAUGCUUCUGCAUAUUUGUCGAGGCUGCGGCUGCCUUGGUGGUGCGAGGGACCUUGCAUCAUUAGACGUCAUUCCCGGCUAGCGUUGUGUGCCUCGUCCCACUCAGUCGAGCACCACCUAUCCACCAUCUGCUCCCAGCACAGAGGAUGUGCGGCGCACCAAUAUGGAAUCAUCUACAAAGUAAACACGUAAACUGCAUAUUAGAAGAUAAAAUUAAAUUCAUGCAUGGAGUACUGGUACCAAACAUGAAUGACUUUACAUGCAGGUACUGGUCCCUGGUCAACGACAUGGUUUGGGCUUGCUGCUUGGUCACCUUCUCCCUAAGGACGGACCGUGGUAGCUGACGAUGGCCUGGAUUUGGGCCUCAUAGUGCAUGUCCACGACGAGCUUCUUACAGUUCGUGGUGGCCACCACAUCCGCCCUAGCCUCGUAUCCAGUCUCGCAUCUGUAGUAAUUCUGCAUACAAAAACGAUGUAUCCAUACAUUAUUUCAAGAAUGUGCAAUGAAUGCAACAUAUUUUACAUUACACUAAAACUUACCCACAGCUCUUGCUUCACCCACUCCGGCUUGUUUUUGAAUUCUCGACCGUCCCGGUCUACUGCAUUGGGUGCGAUGGCGUAGUGGUCGAAGGUGUAGGCUGGGCCCAUCACUCCGGCGUACUCAACCAGUCUAGGGAAGUGUUCCCUGCAUAGCAGGCUGAGGAUGCCAUUGGGGUUGUGACGAUGACCCCCAGCAUUCUCCACAACCGCCCAAGACCUGUCCAAGUGAUAAAUAAAAAGUAUUAGUUUAUAUUAUGAUUUUGAACACAUAAUAUGAACAAGAAUGAAGAACAUAAAGUUUCAUGCCUCUCCCCAUCUGGCCGAAUCAGUGGCCGCCUGUCCCGAAGUUUUGACGCUGAGGGAGACUCACGGGACCUCGCAGGUAGACGCUCCUCGAGCCUCAGGUGCAAGAACCUGAGGCGUCCUGCUGAGCUUCGUCGUCGUCCUGCUGCUGGUCGUGGUCGUCCUGCUGCGCCGCCUGGUGCUGGACAAGGUCGUCCUGCUGCGCCGCCUGUUGUGCCUCGUCCUGCUCUGCCUCGUCCGUCGUCCUGCUCCUCCUCCCCCUCCGCCUCCUCAGCCAACCGCCCACCAUCUUUGUCCAACAACCUGCAAUUAAGAGUAAACAAAUAAGCACAUAUAAAAAGAUGUAUUUAAAAAUAGGUGCGAAAUAAAAAGUCAUAUAGCAUUAAAUCGAUUAAAAAUAAUCUUCAUAUGUGUCGGGGUUAGCCGGAUCAUAACUCUCAUCAUCACUAUCAACCACUUCAUAGCCAACACCAUCUGAAGGCGCAAGUUCGUCAUUAAUGUCAUUGCCUUCAAGGAUUACUAAGUCAUUCUUAUUUUGCACCUCAUCCUCCUCCUCAUCAACAACCAUUUCAAUAUCUACGUCUAUUCCGAUAGCUUCGGUUAAGUCUAUCUCAAAUUGCCCUUCUAGCCCAUCUUCUUGGAAGAACUCUCCAUCAUAUGUGUCCGAGUCUAAGUUAUAAUCUUCAUCGUUAGGAACAAGUAAUCUCCCAUGCGGUGAUACCUUAUACACAACAUCCCAACCCUUAAGAUGUUCUUUCGUUUGACACGCAUAUGGGAGAUAAUACACUUGUGUGGCCUAUUGGGCCACGAUAUAGACAUCGUCUCCUGGUAAGGUGGAAUCUUGUCGAAUUUCGACUAUCCCAAGAUUAGAAUGUGUCCGUCUCGUCACUUGAGGGUCAAACCAAUGACAUUUGAAUAUCACUGGAGUAAGAGGUUUGGAACCAUAAAAAUUAAGUUCAUAUAUUUCUUCGAUUCGUCCAAAAUAAUCGACAUCAUCAAGGCCGGGCGUAAAGACUCCAGAACACGUUGUUUUCCGAUUGGGCCGACUUUGGUUGUAGUUUGUUGUGCGAAAACGGUAUCCAUUGACGUCAUACCCAGAAUAUUUCUUGACCCUAUAAGCAAAGCCGUUGGCUACUUGUCUCAACUCGGCACUCAUAGACGGAUCUCUUUGGCCCUGCAAGUAUUCGCAAGUUAAAAGACACUAAAUUGAGUUCAUAGACGGAUCUCUUUGACAAACUAAGCACGUACCUUACGUUUGAACCAGGAAAUGAAAUCGAGCAAUCCAUUUCUCGCACCCUUUCUAAGAAGAGUAUCAUAUUCCUGUGGAGUUAGGUCCCUUGAUCGACGCCAGAAUUCAUGAAGAAAUUGUUCCAUGUAUGGCGUCACCUCUUCAAGGUUGGUCAAUACAUAUAGCAUGAUAUACCGCCACUCUUCAUGUGUCAGGGUCUUGGUGGUCGAGCCACUUGCGCUUUCGAGUUGGCCUCGAAAUAUGCUGAGGUUCGAUUCAUUAUCACCAUCAUUGUAACGAGGGGGUGGGUUAUGCACGCUUGGUAGUUUGUCACCAUAGUAAGUUGUUGUGAAGUUUGACACCUCCUCUUGAAUGUAUGCCUCUGCAAUGGAAGCCUCGAUUUUGCAUUUAUUUCUACAUUUCUUUUGAAUAGUCUUUAGACAUCUCUCGAUUUGAUAGCACCAACGUCCCUGCACGUGCCCCCCAUUCGUGCCUCAUAGGGGAGAUGAAGAAUCAAAUGCUGCAUUGGAUUGAAGAAGUCGGGGUGGAAAUAUAUUCUCAAGCUUACACAGUAACACGGGUGCCAAUCUUUCCAAGUCUGCAACCAUAGUCCGAGAUAACUCUUUUGCACAAAGCUGAUGGAAGAAAUAGCUCAACUCUGAAAGCGCUAGCCAGACAUGCUCAGGGACAUAACCUCGAACCAUCACAGGAAGAAUCCGUUCAAUCCAUAUGUGGAAGUCAUGACUCUUCAUCCCUAAGACUCGCAGAGUAGAUAAGUUCACCCCCUACCCAGGUUAGCUACAUACCCAUCAAGGAACAUCAACAUCUUGAUCCACUGAAGUACUUCCUUCCUCUGGGCCCUGCUUAGGACAAAAUUGGCCUUAGGCCUUCUCCAUGUCUUUCCACCACUUGGCGGCUUCAUCUCUUGGUUUGGUCUAUCACAUAACGCUGCCAGAUCCACUCUUGCCUUUAUGUUAUCCUUUGACUUAUCAGGAAUGUCCAUAAUUGUUGCCCAAAGUGCCUCGGCAACAUUCUUUUUAGUGUGCAUCGCGUCAAUGUUGUGUGGAAGGAGCAGGUCGUCAUAAUAGGGGAGCCGAGUCAAGCCCGACUUAUGUGUCCACAUAUGCUGCUCACCAUAUCCCAUAAAACCACCUUCUGUAUUGGCCACGAGCCCAUCUAUCUGUUGAUGAAUUUUGGCACCAGUGAUCGUUGCAGGUGGGCGGUCUGUCACUACGACACCUUUCGUAAAGUUCUUGAUGUCUAGGCGGAAUGGAUGGUCAGGAGGGAGAAAUUGUCGAUGUUUAUCGAAGGACGAAUAUUUGCCACCCUUUUUCAACCAAAUGAACCUUAGAGCUUCCUUGCAAACUGGGCAUGGGAACUUACCAUGAACACACUAGGCGCAGAAUAGCCCAUACGCCGGUAAGUCAUGCAUAGAGUACUGGUACCAAACAUGCAUUCUGAAGUUUGUCUUCGUGGCUCGGUCAUACGUCCAUACCCCUUCCUCCCAGGCACGUACCAAUUCAUCGAUCAAAGGCUCCAUGUACACGCCCAUUUUAUUCCCCGGGUGUCCGGGAAUUAUCAACGACACGAAUAUAUUCUGCCUUUGAAAGGACACACCGGGGGGAGAUUGAUUGGGAUAACAAACACGAGCCAACAUGUGUACGGGCAGCGCUCAUUCCAUAGGGAUUGAACCCAUCUGUGGCCAGCGCAACACGUACAUUACGAGCCUCUUCGGCUUUCUCACGGUGAAUGGCAUCAAAGCGUUUCCAUGCUUCACCAUCGGAUGCGUGCACCAUCUUGUCAGGAUUGUAUCGUUUUCCAUUUUUGUGCCAUGUCAUCUGUUUCGCGGAUUCCUCGGUCAUGUAUAGACGCUGGAUCUGCGGUAUGAACGGAAGAUGCCGUAGGAUUGUCAAGGGGAUGUCGAGCUGCCUCUUCUGUCCAUCACCAGAGUCUAGCUCCAUGAACAUAGACGAUUUACACUUGGGAUAGUACUUUGCCUUCGCGUAUUCUUUCUUAAAUAGCACGCAGCCCUUCAGACAAGCAUGUAUCUGCUCAUACGUCAUCUUGAGUGCACGAAGGAGUUUAUGUGCCUCGUACAUGCUCUUUGGCAGAACGUGAUCCUUCGGAAGCAGGCUCCCAAUAACCGUUAACAAGCCAUCGAAUGCGUCUCGACUCAUGUUGUACUACGACUUGAACGCCAUUACACACCCAAUGGCAUCCAGUUGAGAAACCUUUGUCUGGCCGUGAAGGAGCUUUUGUGCCACGUCAAACAUGUCAUAGAAUGCCUUUGCAGUCGGCUCUGGCUCGUCAUCCGUACAUCCACCGACGUACUGUGCCUCCUAAUAGUCGUUCAACAUAUCCGCUACCCUCACAUCGGCAUCAUAAUCCUCGACGCGUUGUCUCAGCACCUCCUCUCUCGUACGAUGCACUUCACCAUGAAAGAUACACCGAGUAUAGUCCGGCAUAAAUCCAUUCUUCUAAAUAUGUUCUACCAUGGCCUUCAUUGAUUUUCUCUUCUGUUUGGCACAUUUGCUGCACAGGCAUGGGACUAGACUCGCUCCUUUAGCAGCUUCGCCAUAUGCCCGUUCCACGAAAUCAUCGGUCUUUCUAAUCCAUUCAGGGGUGACAUCGUUCCUUCCUCUACGGCCCAUGUACAUCCACUCACGGUCCUCCAUCCUCUAACAGAAGCCUAUCAAUAGAAAAUUUUGGCAACACCUCCGCUGCACGGGGAGGUUUCGAAAUCCUACAUAUAAAAGUAUCAGCACGAUGGCUGACAUCCAUGUAUAAUUCAACGGCACGAUGGCCGACAAUCACAUCUAUAUAUAUUCAAUCCAUGAGAGAUAACACAACAAAACUGCAUUUACAUGGAAACUACAUUUACAUGAUUUACAUAUUUCAUUCACAAAUUCUCAAUGAGACUAUAGCCUAACUUACAUGAUUUACAUCCUAUCAUUCACAGAUUUACAUUAUUUACAUCCUAUCAUUCACAAAUUUACAUGAUUUACAUCCUAUCAUCUAAUCAAUAAUAAAUACAAAGUGACACGUAAUAAAUACAAAUCUAAAUCAUGAACAAAUUCAUACCUAGUGGAGAUCGUCGAGGACGGGCGUGAGUCGCGUGGGGGCGGCGGUUGGGCCGCGCGGGUUAGGGCGGUGCGGGUCAGGGCGGUGCCGGCGGGGGGUGGUGCGCGUGGCGGUGCCAGCGGGGAGCCGGCGAGGGGUGGUGCGUGUGGCGGGGCCAGGCGGCGGUGGUGGCUGGGCGGGGAGGCGGGGCGUGGGGAGGCGGGCUCCGACGGCAGAGGCAGUGGGCGCGGGGAGGCGCGGCGGUGGUGGCCGGGUCAUGGGGAGGCAGCGGUGGGGAGGCGGGGCGUGGGGAGGCGCGGUCGUAGGGAGGCGGUGACAGGUGAGGAUGGGCGGGUCGCCGGUGGGGAGGCGGCGGCGGUGAGGACGGGUGAGUGAGAGUGAAAGAGGAGAAGGAGAGGCUGCAGACGGUUAAGUGUCGCUUCUUUGCCGAGUGCCCGCGAUCUGGCACUCGGUAAAGAUUUUUUUAAUUUAAAAAAAUACUUUGCCGAGUGCCUACUGACAGGUACUCGGCAAAGACUGGAUUUAGGGUUUUUGUCGGGUGUCCCACGGCUAUUACUCGGCACAGACGUCUUUGCCGAGUGUCAUCACUAGACACUCGGCAAAGUAUAUUUUUAUUUUUUUAAGUUUCCUUACCAAACUUUUUCUGGUAUGUUCCUACACUAUGUAGACCUACAUGUACCAUUUUGGCACAUUUAUAAAAGUGUUUCCUAUAACUAUUGGAUUUAGUUCGUUUAAUGGAAUUUUCUUCGAUAAUUUAGAUUUGAACUGCAAGUUACUCGAAACUUGGAAAACCGUGUAUGAAAAAAUGAUAUUCAUGCUAUUUAGCACAAGUUAUGACCGAUUUCAAGAGCGGACCAGAAACUUCGAGCACCAAGCUCACUAAACAUGGUCGUGAACUUGCCAUCCAGUUGUUUCAAAAUUGUAUAAGACACAAACAAAGUCAGAAAAUCAUGAAACUUGUCCACAUGUCAUUAUAUCAUAUAUAGAGGCUGUGAUAAAAAUUUGAGAAUGUUUCGAAAAAGUUGUGAGACGGUAUGUGUAUGAACCUAAGAGAAGUACACAUGAAAUCACAGAGUUUCAAUGUACUUCUCUUAGGUUUAUACACAUACUUUCUCACAACUUUCUCGAAACAUUCUCAAAUUUUUAUCACAACCUCUAAAUAUGAUAUCAUGAAAUGUGGACAAGUUUUAUGAUUUUCUGACUUUGUUUGUGUUUUAUACAAUUUUGAAACAGUUGAAUGGCAAGUUCAUGACCAUGUUUAGUGAGCUUGGUUCUCGAAGUUUCCGGUCCGCUCCUGAAAUUGGUCGUAACUUAUGCUAAAUAGCAUGAAUAUCAUUUGUGCAUGCACGAUUUUCCAAGUUUUGAGUGACUUGCAGUUCAAAUCUGAAUUAUCGAAGAAAAUUCCAUUAAACGAACUAAAUCCAAUAGUUAUAGGAAACACUUUUAUAAUUGUGCCAAAAUGGUACAUGUAGGUCUACAUAGUGUAGGAAUAUACCACAAAAAGUUUGGUAAGAAAACUUAAAAAAAUAAAAAUAUACUUUGCCGAGUGUCUAUGGAUGACUCUCGGCAAAGACGUCUGUGACGAGUGUCAGCCGUGGGACACUCGGCAAAGAAGCUUCUUUGCCGAGUGUCAACGCCCGACGCUCGGCAAAAUCUAACGGCCGUCAGUUAUAGACGGCUGCUGACGGCCUUUUGCCGAGGGCCGCCUUCGCCGAGAGUUUAGCACUCGGCAAAGAUAGCUUUGCUGAGUGUAGUUUUUUUCCGUGAGUCCUGCUCUCGGCAAACACGUUCGUUACCGAGAGCUAGACUGUGUCGAGUGCCCGACAAAAAGCACUCGGCCAAGGGCCAAGCACUCGGCAAAGCCACAGAUUCCGGUAGUGUAUAUAUACUCUAAUCGUAGCGUUAGCAUGGGAUAUAUGCCAGUGACAACAACAACAUUAGUAAUAAUAAGAUCCUAAGACAAUUAAAGAAUAUAUAAGUUUUUUUAGUUCUUUAUAUAUUUCUAAUUGGCGUAACCAAUAGUUACGUUUCUUAUGUUAAAAACUAUACACCCUAGAAAUAUCUAUUGGUAUUCCUAAACUUCGCAUGAAUCACUACUACAGAAUGAAAUAUCUAUACCAGUUGAGAAUUGGUCACGGUACCGAAUUUCCAACCGGUACUUGUCAUUUAGAAUUAAAGACCUCAGUUUUUAAUACCGGUUGUAUGAACCCGUACUAAAGUUGAAACUUUGGUACCGGUUCUUGGCAUGAACCGAUACUAAAGAUGUAACUUUUAGUACCGCUUCAUGCCAAGAAUCGGUACUAAAUGUUACAUCUUUAGUACCGGUUAGAACUGUUACUAAAAUAUUAAUGGACUUUUUAUUAUAUGCUUACGCACAUUAAAAUGGUUGUGUACAUUAAUUUAUUUAUAUAUAUACAUAUGUAAAUGUGUAGAUUCAUAUAUACAUGUGUAGAAUCAAUAAUAUAUACAUUAAUAUUCAUGUGUAGAUUCAAAUAUACAAAUGGAUAUUUAUAUUAACAGUAAUACAUACAAAUGCCUAUGAAGUUUCCUAACUUCUAAAAAUAUCUCUAUUUCUAUGUUCUUAAUAUGAAUCUUCUUUAUCUUCUGCAUGUUGAAGAUUUUGUCGAUCAUAAUAGAACUCUCCUUCUUUGGAUACGACAUCUCUAUUUAUAAAAGCAUAUAAGUUGUUAUUGAAUUGCUUCUAUCCUAUCCAUAGUGAAUACUUUUUCCUUCAUCUUUAUUAUCUGUCAUUUGCCAAUAACAUUGAUAAAAAGUGUUAUUGUAUUAAAUUGAAAGCUGGUAUACUUUAUUGAUAUGAAAUUAACAUCAACACUGUAGAAAAUGUUGAUGUACCUCGAUAUUUUUGGCCACUGACUUGUUACCUAUGAAUGUCUGAAUAAAUUCACAAAUGUAGUAACCAUAGAGGUGGUUUCCUUUUUCCUAUAUCAAACACUAAAAUCGAGAAACAAGUAAUGAAUUAUUAUUAGCAAAUAACUUGAGGGAUCGGAAAGCUACAAACGUACAUGAAAGUUUGACCUAAUCUAAAGAGUUUCUUUUAGGCUGACAUGCUUUUUCAUAGCCAACUCAUGCACUGCAUAAUGAAAAUUACAAGUCUUUGGUACAUGCAUGAUUCAAUUAUUUAGAGGUUUAUAGAGUUAGGUUUGAAUGGUAAGAAUUACUCUUUAAGAAGGUAUAUUAUUUCUUUUAAGUCAUCGACUUGCUUCCUCAAGGAGUCAAGGAUAAAUAUAAUACCUUCUUCCAUUAAGAUCACCAAAAGUACCCAUUGAAAGUUGUAGGAAAGUUACAAAAAGGUAGAACAAAUUAGAAAUACACAUUUAGUCUAAAAAGGUAUGGGUACAAAAAGAUAAUGGACACUAACUUAAAAUUAUAUGGAAUUAGUAUACAUUACAUAUAGUGUUGCUUUGUGAAGGAACUUGUGCGGUCUUUGUAGGAUAGCCGACCGAUAUCCCUAAUUGUUAUUUGGUUUAUGUGCACUAGGUCCAUGAAGUCAAUAUUGAAAAUCCCUUCUUUACAACAUCGUUGGAUGUCCAUGCUUUAGAAAACAUAGUAGGUGUAAGAGAACUUCAGUUAGCAUUGAAUAUAUAUUAUUCAGUAGUGGACAAGAGAGAAGGUAAAUACUUAUAGAACUCAGGUGCUGGGUCUAACGCAUUCCACCGGUAUAUAUCAAAUAUAUUGUUAAAAUCGAGCCACAUCACAUCAACAUUGUUGAAGUAGUGGUCUUGUAUAAACACACAAAAGGUGACCCUAUCAGCGGUUGAAUCCUUCAAAUAUCAACUGUCUUGGAAUCUGUUCAAUUGUGUUGUAAGUUCGGAACCUCUUCUAGAGUAUAGGCCGACCUUGCUUGAAUUGCCAUGCAAACUAAUGUGAUGGCAUAUUUUCUUUGUGUAUUUUUUCUUUUCUUUUUCAAGCAUGUGCCCAUAGUUUUGUACCAUCUAGAAUACAAGAUUACCACUUCAGUGAAUUGGCUUGGCACGAUGGUAUACUUGCCCAUUCCAAUGCUUAGCUUUUCUUCUUAAUGGGUGUUUAGCCACAAGAAAUCAACGAUGGGUUGUAUAAACAAUUUUUCUAUAGUGACGUAGAUACAAGCAUCUGUCUCAUCUAAACAAUGGGUGCAGACAUUGAAUCCAUUAUCCUAAUAGAUUUGAAUGUGCAGGCCAAUUGUUGAUGGUUAUGAAUAACAAAGCACAUCAUUAAAAGCCUUCUUGUGCUCGUCCCACAUACAACACCUUUGGACCACAAUUGUAAAAAGCUCAUCCACCAAUGGUUUUAGGUACGCAUCAAUGUUGUUAAUAGAUUGUUUUGGCCCUUCAAUAAGCAGCAGCAUCAUUAUGAACUUUUGCUUUAUACAUAGCCAGGGUAUACAUAUAUAGAGUCACAUGCUGAGGAUAUGACCACUGCCCUACUCGCUGAAAGGGUUCAUGCCAUCGGUGGUUAAACCAAACCUUACAUUUUUUGCAUCCUCUACAAACUCUAAGAAUGUUCUAUUAACUUUACACCAAUGUGAACCAUUACUCUCUUCUUUGUGCAACCACAUUAUCUUGGUGUGCUCUUUGUUACGAAACAAAUGUUUCAAUCGUGGUAUUAUAGGGAAGUACUGUUGGUCACUUGUUUUCAAUUGCUAUGAAUCAAAAACAAGGCAACACACACAUGUUAAACGUUAAGGACCUUCAUCCUUCGAAGCAUUAUCCUCUUUCAGAGAUAAUGACUCUUGUACGAAGGUCAUGAAGAAUGAGUCUUUAUUUUUCAUAAGUAUAAUAUUACAAUGUAACAUUAUAACAAUUACUUAUUUCAUCUCGCAUGCCAGGAUGAUGUUAAGGUAUGUAUUAUAUAUAUUAAUAAAGUGGUACAAAUUAUAUAUUACAUUUGUACCUUCGGCUUGCUCGAAAGAGAGAAUGCGAGUACAACUUUUCAAUCCAACGUGAAUAGUACGGGGUAAUAUUCAUCUAUUUAUAGGCAAGGGACGCAGCCCAAGCAGAAGUACAAUUAUGACCCUGAUAUCUACACAUUGCUCUAAUACAAAUAUCAAGGAUAAACAAGUCUUUUCCUUGCUGGCUUGGUGUCAUGUAUGACCUUCGUGACCAUCUUAAGUCGAAGCUCCAAUUCUUGUCGAAGCUUCGCUACAUUUUAUGCAUGUUUGUUGCAUCUUUGGCACUUAGUUCCUUUGAUUACAAAUAGUUUCUUCAUCCUAAGGACCUUCAGCAUAGAAGGAGACCCCCAAUAGUAGCCCCUUCGUGGUGCUAGGUCGUUUUUUUCAUAACGAGCUUGAUUCGCGAAACACACGAAGGCUUUUGAAUGCCGAAGGUCCAAAAACACCUUCUCAGUUAGUAUGAGCGGCGCGGCAGUAUGCCUUCUUCACAUGCAAGGCUAUAUAAAUAGGUUGGUUGGUAAGAAGUUAUUACAUCAUUCCUUGCUUUUGCACUGUUGUUGUUGGGGGUAUUCUUCUCCGCCGAAGGUCCUCAAGGAAAAAACACCUUCGACAAAAUGAUACAAAGGUUUGCCGAAGUCACCUUCAGCCUUGAUUUAGCUCCUCAAGACGAAGACUCUGUAUAGAGGCAACAAUGCAAGAUGUCGAAGGUCAAUGGCCUCAACCCAGAUCAAGCAAGGAAGAAAAAAGGACCAGAUAGGCCUUAUUGGUUUUAGUUACAUGUAAACAAGAGUUCAGGGGCAUGAAUGUAAUUUUAUCCGGACUGCGUCCCGUGACUAUAAAUAGAUGAAUAAUACCCCCGUACUGUUCACGCUGGAUUGUAAUCACUCUCGCGCCAUUUUCGCUCUCUUACCUUCUGGCAAGCCGAAGGUGUCAAUAUAAUAUGAAUAUUGUUUAUGUUUAUUCAUGUUUAUGGAAUAUAAUAAUAAAUGAAUAGUUGAUACAUAACAAUUAUUAUCUUCAUUUUUAUAUUCCUUCACUUGCUUAUUUGUAUUCAUGUUUAUAUGUUGAAAUGAUGAAGGUGUGUCCUUCAUGACCUUCGUCUGAAGACCAUUAUAUCUGAGAGGAAAUAAUGCUUCGAAGGACGAAGGUCUUUAACUAUUGACAAUUGUGUUGCCUUGUUCUUGAUUUAUAGUAUUCGAGAACAAGUGACCAACAUUGGCGCCCACCUCCGGUGAACUCACUUCCGCAACUGCGACAAUGGCUUCGCAAGGCAACCAAGCUGCGCCACCUUCGACUACGAAGCUGGCGCUCCCAAUCACAGGCGGCUCAAGUUCUGAACCAGCCAACAAGAAACAGAAGAAGGAAGCACAGAGAAGGGUACAACAUGUUGAUGUGCAAGGACCCUUCAUCAGGUCCAAAUGGUCUCACAUACCAAUUACCUUCUCUCAGGAAGACCUUCAGCUUUAAGAUUAUCCUCACAACGAUGCAAUGGUCAUAUCUUGUGUCAUCAAGGGAUUUUUGGUCCAUAAUGUCCUGGUGGUCACAGGCAAUGCAGCGAACAUCAUUUUCAUGAAGGCUUUCAAGCAAAUGCAAGAGCCGGAUGACAAGAUACAUGAUGCAACACCCCCCUUUGUGGUUUCGGAGGAAGACAGAUUGUAGCGCUCGGCAAGAUAACCAUGUCAGUUACCUUCGGCUACGUUCACCACACAAGGACAGAACAGGUUGUCUUCGACAUUGUUGAUAUGGAAUAUCCAUAGAAUGCAAUCAUUGGUCGAGGGACACUCAAUGCCUUCGAAUCAAUACUUCAUCCAGCAUAUCUUUGCAUGAAGAUACAUUCGGAACAAGGCCCCAUUGUUGUACAUGAGAGUCAAGAAGCUGCUAGGAGAGCCGAAGUAAGUUGGACGGAUUCGAAGGCCAUCCAUAAUAUAGAUGAGGCCGAAGCUCAUCAGCAAUAUAAGCAUAAAAGAGAAAAGGCUGCUUCGGCAGAUCAACCAAAGUCCAUGCUUUUGUGUGAAGACAUAGCUGAGCAAAAGGUGCUAUUGGGAUCUCAAUUAUCUGAUGAGCAAGAGAAGACCUUGCUAAGAUUUUUGUUUAAUAAUAAAGAUGUUUUUGCUUGGUCAGCUAAUGAUAUCUGUGGUGUCAAUAGAGAUAUUAUUGAGCACUCGCUCAACGUAGACCCGUCCUUCAGACCAAGAAAACAGAGGCUUCGGAAAAUGUCCGAUGAUAAAGCCGAAGGUGCACGAAACGAAGUGAAAAGACUUCUAAGUGCCGGCAUUAUCAGAGAAGUGACAUACCCAGAGUGGCUGGCCAAUACCGUCAUGGUAAAGAAAGCAAACAGAAAAUGGAGAAUGUGUAUUGACUUUACAGAUCUCAAUAAGGCAUGCACGAAGGAUGAAUUCCCACUUCCAAGAAUAUAUUCCCUUUGCAAGUAUCUUCAUCCUCUGCUGAAGCUAGAGUUAUUGCUUCAUCGCCAAAUAGAAGUUUAAACGGAGUGAAACCCGUUGAUCUUGAAACCACAUUAUUGUGAUUCCACACCAGCUUUACUAAUUCAUCUGGACACUUUCUCUUUGGCAGAUUAAAGAUUGACCUCAUUAUUCCUUUGAUAAUGAUUCCAUUUGAUCGCUCUACUAAGUCGUUGGACUCUGGAUGUCUUACCAAUGCGAAAUGUAUCUUUGUUCUAAUUUGAUCACAGAAAGUUUUAAAUCUUCGGAGCGAAACUGUGCUCCAUUAUCAACUGUGAUGGCCUUCGGCACCCCAAACCGGCAGAUGAUAUUUUUCCAGAAAAGUUUCUAGAUUGUGGCUGAUGUUAUUAUAGCUAGUGGUUUAGCUUCGAUCCAUUUUGAGAAAUACUCCACUGCUACUACAACAUAUCUCAUAUUUCCUUGGGCUGGUGGAAGUGGUCCUAAUAAAUCUAAUCCCCAUCUCUGUAAUGGCUAAGUGGGCUGAAUUAGUUGUGUUAGAGAUGAAGGUUGCUUUUGAUCCCUGGCACACUCCUGACAAUUCUCACAUUUUUGCACUAGGUCUGCUGCAUCCAAAGCAGCCUUCGGCUAAUAGAAACCUUGUCUAAAUACCUUGCCUAAGAGUGGCCUGAAUCCAAUAUGUGCUUCACAUAUUCCUGAUUGUAUUUCUUUCAUCAACUCUUGACCUGCGACUUUGGAUAAACAUUUCAGCAAUGGGGAGCAGACCCCUUGUUUAAAAAA
RNAcentral lists this long non-coding RNA (16457 nucleotides) under Zea mays. RNAcentral describes it as "long non-coding RNA (ZMAY_LNC001815)". The record is from RNAcentral. Lineage: Eukaryota; Viridiplantae; Streptophyta; Magnoliopsida; Poales; Poaceae.